Molecule: ribosomal RNA, 777 nt
Filed under: Fomitopsis serialiformis
Lineage: Eukaryota; Fungi; Basidiomycota; Agaricomycetes; Polyporales; Fomitopsidaceae
Description: Antrodia serialiformis partial large subunit ribosomal RNA
Rfam family: Eukaryotic large subunit ribosomal RNA
Source: RNAcentral
GUACAAGUCUCUUGGAACAAAGCGUCAUAGAGGGUGAGAAUCCCGUCUUUGACACGGACUACCAGUGCUCUGUGAUGCGCUCUCAAAGAGUCGAGUUGUUUGGGAAUGCAGCUCAAAAUGGGUGGUAAAUUCCAUCUAAAGCUAAAUAUUGGCGAGAGACCGAUAGCGAACAAGUACCGUGAGGGAAAGAUGAAAAGCACUUUGGAAAGAGAGUUAAACAGUACGUGAAAUUGCUGAAAGGGAAACGAUUGAAGUCAGUCGCGUUAGCCAGGACUCAGCCUUGUUUUUACUUGGUGCAUUUUCUGGUUGACGGGCCAGCAUCGAUUUUGAUCGCCGGAAAAAGGUUGGGGGAAUGUGGCACCUUCGGGUGUGUUAUAGCCCUCAAUCACAUACGGUGAUUGGGAUCGAGGACCGCAGCACGCCUUUAUGGCCGGGGUUCGCCCACGUUCGUGCUUAGGAUGCUGGCGUAAUGGCUUUAAACGACCCGUCUUGAAACACGGACCAAGGAGUCUAACAUGCCUGCGAGUGUUUGGGUGGAAAACCCGAGCGCGUAAUGAAAGUGAAAGUUGAGAUCCCUGUCGCGGGGAGCAUCGACGCCCGGACUUGAACUUCGGUGAUAGAUCUGCGGUAGAGCAUGUAUGUUGGGACCCGAAAGAUGGUGAACUAUGCCUGAAUAGGGUGAAGCCAGAGGAAACUCUGGUGGAGGCUCGUAGCGAUUGUGACGUGCAAAUCGAUCGUCAAAUUUGGGUAUAGGGGCGAAAGACUAAUCGAACCAUC